RNAcentral lists this ribosomal RNA (894 nucleotides) under uncultured Corynebacterium sp. RNAcentral's name for it is "bacterial SSU rRNA". It matches the Rfam family "Bacterial small subunit ribosomal RNA", at positions 505 to 1397 of the family's 1533-position model. Lineage: Bacteria; Bacillati; Actinomycetota; Actinomycetes; Mycobacteriales; Corynebacteriaceae. The record is from RNAcentral.
GUGCCAGCAGCCGCGGUAAUACGUAGGGUGCGAGCGUUGUCCGGAAUUACUGGGCGUAAAGAGCUCGUAGGUGGUUUGUCGCGUCGUCUGUGAAAUUCCGGGGCUUAACUCCGGGCGUGCAGGCGAUACGGGCAUAACUUGAGUACUGUAGGGGAGACUGGAAUUCCUGGUGUAGCGGUGAAAUGCGCAGAUAUCAGGAGGAACACCGGUGGCGAAGGCGGGUCUCUGGGCAGUAACUGACGCUGAGGAGCGAAAGCAUGGGUAGCGAACAGGAUUAGAUACCCUGGUAGUCCAUGCCGUAAACGGUGGGCGCUAGGUGUAGGGGUCUUCCACGACUUCUGUGCCGUAGCUAACGCAUUAAGCGCCCCGCCUGGGGAGUACGGCCGCAAGGCUAAAACUCAAAGGAAUUGACGGGGGCCCGCACAAGCGGCGGAGCAUGUGGAUUAAUUCGAUGCAACGCGAAGAACCUUACCUGGGCUUGACAUAUACGGGACCGGGCCAGAGAUGGUCCUUCCCUUGUGGCUCGUAUACAGGUGGUGCAUGGUUGUCGUCAGCUCGUGUCGUGAGAUGUUGGGUUAAGUCCCGCAACGAGCGCAACCCUUGUCUUAUGUUGCCAGCACGUAAUGGUGGGGACUCGUGAGAAACUGCCGGGGUCAACUCGGAGGAAGGUGGGGAUGACGUCAAAUCAUCAUGCCCCUUAUGUCCAGGGCUUCACACAUGCUACAAUGGUCGGUACAGUGGGUUGCGAUGCCGUGAGGUGGAGCUAAUCCCUGAAAGCCGGUCUCAGUUCGGAUCGGGGUCUGCAACUCGACCCCGUGAAGUCGGAGUCGCUAGUAAUCGCAGAUCAGCAACGCUGCGGUGAAUACGUUCCCGGGCCUUGUACACACCGCCCGU